Heterocephalus glaber (naked mole-rat) is the source of this 1034-nucleotide long non-coding RNA. Lineage: Eukaryota; Metazoa; Chordata; Mammalia; Rodentia; Bathyergidae. The record is from Ensembl.
GGCCCUGAUAUUCAGUAGUUAAAAGUACGCUAAUUUCAUAUUGGUUGACAAAAAGUCAUUGAGAAGCUUGUGUGGAACACAUGGAAUGAUACUUAACCAAGAGUAAAGAAAGAAGGUGGUAACUAGUACCAGCGCUUCUGUGUUUUGGAAAGCAAAGAACAGUUAUCUGAGGGUUGAGGUUUCUUAUUUUCCCUGAGAAGACAGAAGCAAAGAUAAGAAAAAGAAAAGCCCCGUGGGAGGGCUAGGGGAAAGGAUAGAAGGAAAUGGGAUUAAUAUGAGAAAAUGGAAAAAUAGGAACAAAAUCUUUGUAAAUAGGGAGGAAUGGAGGGGUUGAAGGGAGGGCUGGGCAAGGGUGAAAAAUAAGAACCAAGAGAGACUAUGUAAAGGUGCAAAUUUCCAAUGAUGAAUGUCAUUAUAUUGUAUACCUAAAAUGUACCAAUGAUUAGAAUGAAUAAUCGAUAAUGUAAAAUAGGAAGAAAAGGUCCAAAGGGGUAGGGGUGGUGGGAGGGGCAGGGGAAAGGAAAGAAGGGAAAGAAAAAAAUGAUGAGAAAUGGAAAAAAUGGAAAUAAAGUCUUUGUAAAUCGGGAAGGGUGGAGGGGGUGAAGGGAGGGCUAGGAAUGGGGAAAAAAUAAGAACCAAGAUGCAUGAUGUAAAGGUACAAUUCCCAAUGAGAAAUGUAAUUGUGUUGUAUACCUACAAUGUACCAAUAGAAGAAUUUAAUACAAAAAAAAAAAAAAGAAAAAGAAAAGCAAAGACAAAAGGCCAGUGGAAGUUGACUUUCUGCUGCUUAGACUCAGACAGAGGAAAGGUGAAGGGGACCAAGUCAAUAUUAGGAGACCUGAACCUGGUGCCCCAGGUGAGACCAAGCAAGGCAAAAAGACUUCAAACUGCAGUCAACAGCCAAGGCUUGGUUCAGUUGGAACGUAAGACAGCUAACUGCCACCAAACAUAGAAGAAAGAAGGGAAUCAUGGAGAUCCCUCUCAGUGCUGAUACUUUGUCUUGCAGAGAAAUAGCACAUCAUAUUAGGCAUUUU